GGAUCUGUACUCCCAGCUAUCGGAUACGAAUCAUCACAUGAUGAUGAUGAUGCAUGUGGAUCACCACCAGAUACAACAUCAUAUGGUCUAUGUGUAUUAGAAAGAUGUGGUGGACUAGGAGUAGAGUGGGGAGAUUGGAUAUUUGUAGGUAUUUGAGAGGUGGGAGCAUGAAUUGUAGACAUUUGUGGACUUGGAGUAGAGAGGAAAGGUGGGAAAUUUGUAAAUGUUUGAGAUAUGGGAUGAUGUUUCGGUUGCCUUGUAGGUUGUGGAAGUUGGAUAUUUGAAGGUGUGUUAGAUGUAAGAUGAUGUGUAGGUUUCCUUGUAGAGUGGGGUUGUUGGGUAUUUGUAGGUAUUUGAGAAGUGGGAGCAUGGACAGUAGACAUUUGUGGACUUGAAGUAGAGAGGAAAGGUGGGAAGUUUGUAUGUGUUUGAGAUAUGGGAUGAUGUGUAGGUUGCUUUGUAAAUAGGGAUUGUUGGAUAUUUGAAGGUGUUUUAGAUGUAAGAUGAUGUGUAGGUUUCCUUGUAGAGUGGGGUUGUUGGGUAUUUGUAGGUAUUUGAGAAGUGGGAGCAUGGACAGUAGACAUUUGUGGACUUGAAGUAGAGAGGAAAGGUGGGAAGUUUGUAUGUGUUUGAGAUAUGGGAUGAUGUGUAGGCUGCUUUGUAGAUAGGGAUUGUUGGAUAUUUGAAGGUGUUUUAGAUGUAAGAUGAUGUGUAGGUUUCAUUGUAGAGUGGGGUUGUUGGGUAUUUGUAGGUAUUUGAGAAGUGGGAGCAUGGACAGUAGACAUUUGUGGACUUGAAGUAGAGAGGAAAGGUGGGAAGUUAGUAUGUGUUUGAGAUAUGGGAUGAUGUGUAGGUUGCUUUGUAGAUAGGGAUUGUUGGGUGUCUGCAGGCCUAGGUGCUUGUAAUCUAGAAGAAUGCGACAAAGUAGUUUUAUGCUUACCUCCCUUAUUUCCCUUAACUUUGUUGAUGCUUAUACCAGCACCUCUUCCAC
RNAcentral lists this long non-coding RNA (991 nucleotides) under Medicago truncatula (barrel medic). Its description in RNAcentral is "long non-coding RNA (MTRU_LNC000576)". The record is from RNAcentral. Lineage: Eukaryota; Viridiplantae; Streptophyta; Magnoliopsida; Fabales; Fabaceae.